CCUGGCUCCCAGUACAUCCCAGUUCAGCCCAGUGUGUCCCUAACCCUGCCUUUGUCCCCAGCCCCCUGUGGUUGAGAAGGUGGUUGAUCUUCUUCGUGGCAAACGCCUGGCUGCAUCCCUGGAGAGCUGAGGACUGGUGAUGACACCCAUGCCCUCUCCCUCUCCACUGGCAUGAGGAGAUGAUCAUCCCUGAAAGAACCCCCUGAUUCCCUCAGAGCCCAGGGCCAUUUCCCCUGAAUGAUCAAUAAAUCCCUUCAGCAAAGCAA
Myiozetetes cayanensis is the source of this 266-nucleotide long non-coding RNA. RefSeq lists it as uncharacterized. NCBI's taxonomy places the organism in Eukaryota, Metazoa, Chordata, Aves, Passeriformes, Tyrannidae. The record is from RefSeq and is a predicted model, not a curated record. The transcript is spliced from 2 exons.